Molecule: non-coding RNA, 2704 nt
Organism: Labrus bergylta (ballan wrasse)
Lineage: Eukaryota; Metazoa; Chordata; Actinopteri; Labriformes; Labridae
Source: the annotation of a RefSeq genome assembly
AUGGUGAACCGUCACAUCAGAAAAUGCAAAAGGAUAGAUAAUAUCAAAACUUACGAACCGUUAAAUAUCUUGAUUCCUGAGAACAGGUUUUUGUAUGCCGUGGUUAAUAUAUUGUCCAACUGUGACUACGGUUUUGACUACUGGGGUAAAGGAACAAUGGUCACUGUAACUUCAGCCACUUCAUCCAAACCAACCGUGUUUCCUCUGAUGCAAUGCGGGUCUGAGACUGCAAACACCGUCACUCUUGGCUGCCUUGCCACUGGCUUCUCGCCCUCCUCGGUGACCUACGCGUGGAGCAAAGCUGGAACUGCCUUGACGGACUUCAUCCAGUAUCCUCCAGUAGAGAAGAGUGGUGUUUAUACAGGAAUCAGUCAAAUCAAAGUGAACAAAGAGGACUUGGAUGCAAAGCAGCCCUUUAAAUGCAUCGCAUCAAACACAGCAGGAGAAGGAGAGGGGAUUUUCAUCGUGACACAACCGCUGGUUGUAUCUCCAAACAUCACAUUACAACCUGUCUGGGAAGGUGAAUUCAAAGCCUCAGGGGUCAGACUCAUCUGCACCUUGAGUGGAUUCUUUCCAGGUGAACUGAGUGUGGAGUGGAAGCUGGACAACGACCCUCUAGUGAUUAAUCCAAUCGAAAGGAAGCUGCAGACCGUGGAGGGAGUGAAUAAAACAUUUAGUUUUAGCAGUGAGAUUGAGCCAAACAGCAAGAAGUGGGCAAAAGGCUCAAGCUAUACAUGCAAGGCGAUUCACAACAACAUUGAAUUUACAAAGACAAUUAGUGUCUGUCAAAUCGUUCCAAGCACCACUCCUUCCAUGCAUUUACAAACCCCGAGCUUCAAGACGGUAAUGACGGCAAAGUCAGACAUUAAGGCAACAUGUUCAGUCUGCACUAUUUUUGAUGCCACUGUGACAUGGAGGCUGGAUGAGGACUCUCCCUCCAAAGAACACAUCAACCAGGUCACUAAUGCAAGUCAUAUAAUAAGCACUCUGACAGUUUCAUCAAGCAGCUGGCAAAGACUGAAGGAUCUAAAAUGUAAGGCUGAACAUCACUGCUUCUCCUCUACUGAAGUUACAUUUGUUCCAGGACCUGCAGUCAGACCUCCAUUGAUUCAGAUCAGAAGAUCUCUCCCACAUUUGCUGAAGGGAGACAGUGCUGUGCUGGUGUGUGACAUCACACAGUCCGACUCCAGGGAUCUAUCUGUCACCUUACAUAAUAAUAAGAAUGCUAUUAUUGGCACACAGUUUGUUGAUCUUCCUCAAACCCCAGGACCACAUUCAAUCAGUAGAUUCUUCUCUGUGCCUCAAAAUCACUGGAAGAAAAACACAAGUUUCUACUGCAGCGUAAGCCAAGGUUUCUCUGGCAGUUCUACAUCAAACUCUACUGGCAUUAUCUUUGUGGAUCCAUCAGUGGAGCUCCUUCUGGUCCCAGGUGAAGAGUCUGGACAACAGAGACUGUCGUGCUCUGGAUGGGGCUUUGACCCUCAAAUCAAAUGGUCUUCUGAGUCCCAGCAAAAAUCUCCUUCGACCUAUGACAUCAGCAUGGGUGCAGGUGGACGUGUGGCAGUAACCAGUCAACUUCUUGUCCCUCAAAAAGAGUGGAAAACGGGGAAAAGCUUCACCUGUGAAGUCUCUGACAGGUCUCUGAACAAACAAUACAGAAAGGAAAUCAGCGUCUGUACAGUUACUCCCACAUCAUCUCAAUCAGUUGGGGUCUAUAUUCAGGGACCACCACUCCAAGAGAAUCAGAACACGGGACAAGUGACUGUCACCUGCCUUUUGGUUGGCCCUCUUCUAAAAGAUAUUUCCAUCUACUGGAAAGUAGAUGGAAACACAUAUACCCAUCGUGCCCAUAUAGAGCCACCAGUGAGUCUCGGCAACGGUACAGAAACUUUGCGGAGCUUCCUUAACGUGUCAGCAGAGGACUGGAACUCUUAUAAAAACGUGUCAUGUGAGGGGAAGCAUCCAUGUUCCAAGCAGAGCUACAAGGACCAUAUAAAGAAAUGCAAUGACACCAGUCCACCAACAGUGAAGAUUAUACAACCAAGUGCCUCUCAGGCUUCCACAUCACACUUCCUCGCACUUACUUGCCUGGUGUCAGAAUUUUUCCCAUCCAACAUAAUAGUGUACUGGAAAAAAGAUGGCCAGAGACUCCCUUCAACUGGCUACACUAACAGUCCUGCAUGGAAGUACACCGGGAGCAGCACUUAUUCAAUGAGCAGCAGACUAAAUAUAACCAAAACUGUGCACGAGGAGUCCACAUAUUCUUGCGUUGUCAGACAUGAGUCAUCCGAAAUGCCCCUUGAAAGCAGUAUAAAGGAUGUGUUUGACGUAUUGAAGAGCUGUGAUUUUUUGGAUAAUAUUAUGUAUGCUGAAAGGAUCCAAGACAAAGAUGAGGAAGGCUGGUUUAUGGCUUUCAUAUUUCUCGUUUUUUUCCUCAUCUCUAUCGUCUAUGGUGUCCUUGCAACCCUGUUUAAGACUAAAUGAUGGCGAUCACAGGAACAGAUCAACUUUCAAGAUCAAAAAGUGAACUUCUGGAGAUUUUUGAUUGUAUCUGGUCUUGUUAAUCUUUAAAUGGGAUAAGAAAUGCUCCCAUCAUUAUGCUCCUUUCAACUGUUUUACAUCUUGUUACUUUUCUACAUGCCAAUUCUUUUGAGAUUAUGCCACCAAUGUCAUGAAAAAAAAUCCUGUAUCAUUUGUGCAUUGA